AGAGUUUGAUCAUGGCUCAGGAUGAACGCUAGCGGCAGGCUUAACACAUGCAAGUCGAGGGGUAACAGGGGAGCUUGCUCCCGCUGACGACCGGCGCACGGGUGAGUAACGCGUAUGCAACCUACCCUUAACAGGAGGAUAGCCCAGGGAAACUUAGAUUAAUACUCCAUGGUUUCACGGAGUCGCAUGGCUUUGUGAAUAAAGUUCCGGCGGUUAAGGAUGGGCAUGCGUGCCAUUAGCUAGUUGGUGUGGUAACGGCGCACCAAGGCAGCGAUGGCUACGGGGUCUUAAAGGAUGGUCCCGCACACUGGUACUGAGACACGGACCAGACUCCUACGGGAGGCAGCAGUGAGGAAUAUUGGUCAAUGGGCGAGAGCCUGAACCAGCCAUGCCGCGUGCAGGAAGACGGCCCUAUGGGUUGUAAACUGCUUUUUUACGGGAAUAAAAGCAGCUACGUGUAGUUGCUUGAACGUACCGUAGGAAUAAGCAUCGGCUAACUCCGUGCCAGCAGCCGCGGUAAUACGGAGGAUGCAGGCGUUAUCCGGAUUUAUUAGGUUUAAAGGGUGCGCAGGCGGCCCGGUAAGUCAGUGGUGAAAGUUUGCAGCUUAACUGUAAAAUUGCCAUUGAUACUGUCGGGCUUGAGUUUGGUAGAGGUAGGCGGAAUGUGUAGUGUAGCGGUGAAAUGCUUAGAUAUUACACAGAACACCGAUUGCGAACGCAGCUUACUAUGCCAAAACUGACGCUGAGUCACGAAAGCGUGGGGAGCGAACAGGAUUAGAUACCCUGGUAGUCCACGCCGUAACGAUGAUCACUGGUUGUGCGCGAUACACUGUGCGCGACUGAGCGAAGCA
Molecule: ribosomal RNA, 851 nt
Filed under: uncultured bacterium
Lineage: Bacteria
Description: bacterial SSU rRNA
Rfam family: Bacterial small subunit ribosomal RNA
Source: RNAcentral